This 235-nucleotide long non-coding RNA is filed under the name Capsicum annuum. Its description in RNAcentral is "long non-coding RNA (CANN_LNC010637)". The record is from RNAcentral. Lineage: Eukaryota; Viridiplantae; Streptophyta; Magnoliopsida; Solanales; Solanaceae.
UGUGAAACAUCAGUGCCUCUCAAACUUUGAGGUAGCUUGUAAUCCGUAAGGUCUUCCUCUAACCUAUGAUCCUUCAAGAAGUAUUUCAUCAAGCCCCUAAAGCUGUACCUGUAGCCAUAUUUUACUCUUACCUUCAUCAUAGAGGAUCUCAACACAACACCCACAUUAUUAACUUUGUUAGUCGUAAGUGCAUAAGAUAAAAUUACCCGAUUACAAGUGAUGUUGGACAAUUGGG